AAUGGGGGAAACCCUGAUCCAGCCAUGCCGCGUGUGUGAAGAAGGCCUUAGGGUUGUAAAGCACUUUCAGUGGGGAGAAAGGUUUGUCACCUAAUACGUGAUGAAAUUGAUGUUACCCACAGAAGAAGCACCGGCUAACUCCGUGCCAGCAGCCGCGGUAAUACGGAGGGUGCAAGCGUUAAUCGGAAUUACUGGGCGUAAAGCGCACGUAGGUGGUUCGCUAAGUCAGCUGUGAAAUCCCCGGGCUCAACCUGGGACUUGCAGUUGAAACUGGUGAGCUAGAGUAGGGUAGAGGGGUGUGGAAUUCCAGGUGUAGCGGUGAAAUGCGUAGAUAUCUGGAGGAACAUCAGUGGCGAAGGCGACACCCUGGACUCAUACUGACACUGAGGUGCGAAAGCGUGGGGAGCAAA
RNAcentral lists this ribosomal RNA (410 nucleotides) under uncultured bacterium. Its description in RNAcentral is "bacterial SSU rRNA". It matches the Rfam family "Bacterial small subunit ribosomal RNA", at positions 370 to 772 of the family's 1533-position model. The record is from RNAcentral.